This is an RNA transcript of Peromyscus eremicus (cactus mouse), 2298 nucleotides long. It is a transcript of the gene named acyl-coenzyme A thioesterase 5-like, with no coding region annotated. The transcript is spliced from 2 exons. The record is from RefSeq and is a predicted model, not a curated record. NCBI's taxonomy places the organism in Eukaryota, Metazoa, Chordata, Mammalia, Rodentia, Cricetidae.
GGACCUGGAGGGUGGUACAUACAGGCAGUGACGAGGCAGUCACAUGAUUGGGUUUACAACCAAUCAGAAGCCAGAACAGAGAGACUAUAGAGACAGACACACAGGAAGGAGGGCUCCUCUUUCGGAGAGCUCUCUUGGCUGAGGAGGAUCCCUGAAUCAGGAAGGGUGAGGCUCUUGGCUCUGACCUCCUGGCUUUCUUCUCUGAAUCGGCUCUGUGUUCUUCUGUCUGAUAAAACCGUUGGCUACAUCUACACUGAAUUACAUCUACAUUUGGCGCCCAACGUGGGGUGAAUCCGUUAAAAACCGUUUAACUGCUAAGCUGGAUUCACACCUCGGACACUAGGUGGCUGUUUUGAAAUUCCCUCGGAUUUGUACUGUUCUACGAGGACUUGGUUAUCCAAUAUUUUAAAGGAAACUAUUUAAAGAGAAAUUUUUUUCCACAUUUAAAAAAAAAUAGAGAAUGGGUUUUCUGUGUUCAUUAGAAGAAAAUUGGGCUUUGUUUGCAAUUUUAGACAGUCUAACAAUGGAACAGUUAUAUGAGAAGAUUAAUGUUGAUAGAAUUAUGCAUUUUAUUACUAUAUUUAUUCUUAUUUUACUAUUUAAGAAGAUAGCUAAUUUAAGUGCCAGGGUGACAGCUUUAGAAAAACUUGAUACACUUGUGAAAACUCAGACAGAAGAAACUAACAGUGAAGUUGCUUCAAGAUUGGAUCAUAGGGUUACAGAAAGAAAGCCUGUUUUCACACAGUCACCCUUAGUUUGUCCAGUAACCGUACAGCAGUUGCCUGAUCAAAUGACUACACAAAAUAUUUGGGCUCCAAUCGAAAUGUUAGAUUUACAAAGGUUUAAGGAGGCAAUAGUAUCUUAUGGCAUGCAUUCCCCAUAUGUAAAGCAAAUGUUAAACUCUUGGUCAACAUAUAAUAGGAUUGUACCACAGGAUUGGCGGGAGCUGGCACAAGCUGUUCUGGAACCCAGUCAAAGGCUUCAGUGGCUAACUUGGUUCAAGGAUGAAGCUAAAAACAUAGAAAAACAGUGGAGGGAUAAAGGAAUACAAGUCUGCCAGGAUCAGCUUAUGGGAGAAGGUCAAUAUGCUUCAGCACCAGCACAAUGUUUAUAUGAUGUCCAAACCCUAAUUUUAUGUCGAACAGCAGCCUUGAAUGCAUGGGACAGAGUUGAGGAACCAGGAAAAAAAACUGAGUCAUUUACAAAGGUUGUACAAGGCCCAAAAGAAUCUUUCACAGACUUUUUACAAAGACUGGCUUCAGCAGUAAAGAGAAUGGUCCCGGAUUCAGAAGCUGGUAAGAUAAUAAUUGAAACUUUGGCCUUUGAGAAUGCGAAUGCAGCAUGCAAAACAAUAAUCAGGCCGUUAAAGGCAAGAUCUGCACCUUUGGAAGAUUGGAUUAGAGACACGGUUAAUGUUGAAACUCAUGAGCAUGAUGAUACGUGGGUAGAAGAAGCAAUUUCAAGAGGUUUGAGGAAUGUUAGAUGUUUUGGAUGUGGAAGGCAAGGACAUUUGAAAAGGGAUUGUAAACAGGUCAUUCCUAGAAACAAUGUUUCCUCAAGGAACAAUGGCAACAGAAUGCCCCUUCCUUCUGGAGUAUGCAGAAGGUGUGGUAAGGGAAAACACUGGACCAACGAAUGUAGAUCAACAAGGGACAGACAGAGUAAUCCUUUGCCUCAGUCUUCGGGAAACUCCCAGAGGGGCCUCAUGCAGGCCCCAAUAGCAAAUCCAGUUCAAACCUUUCCUGCAUUCGUAGAGGAAACCCCUACCCAGAGCAAUUAAAUAACCAAAUGCCUAUUGGAAUAAGUCAUGCUGGUCAGGAUGAUGAAACAGAGAGAACAGAAAAUUCAGGAGCAAAUAUAAAGAAAAUUUUUUGGCAAACUUCUAUUGAAAGAUCAAACAGAACUCUAAAGGAUAUGCUAAAUAAACAGAAAAGGGUAACAAAAACCCCCAGAAACAGACUGCAUAAUGCUCUAUUAACUUUGAAUUUUCUUAAUGCCAAUGAGAAAGGAACAACAGCUGCAGAGAGACAUUGGAUAAUAGAAAAAACUACAGAAUUAAAUCAGCCUAUAUACUUUAAGGAUGUGCUGACCUCAGAAUGGAAACCAGGGAUAAAGAUAACUUCACCCAUACCCAGUAGGAAGCAAUUUUAAGAAUACGACGCCCACAUUCCCAAAGAGGUGGUGUGGGGCAGGUCAAGGGACCAGGGAUUGGCCUGCUGGGGACUUCCAAAGGGGCUGAACUCUGCCUCUCCAUGGCCUCUUUCCUGAAAGGCAUCACGGCUGCUGUCAUAAUCAAUG